Molecule: long non-coding RNA, 266 nt
Filed under: Elaeis guineensis (African oil palm)
Lineage: Eukaryota; Viridiplantae; Streptophyta; Magnoliopsida; Arecales; Arecaceae
Description: long non-coding RNA (EGUI_LNC007211)
Source: RNAcentral
CCAUCAAAAGUCGAUUGCACGAGCUAGCACUUCUGCGGAGGGUUGAUUGGUUUGAGGGCUUCGUGUGGACCAUCCGUAGAGGUCGGACGCUUGUGCGGCUAUAAGCGAUUAGAGAAGACUUUCAGAUCUAUGAUCUCGAUUGUGGAGUUUGACUAUCCAUGCUCAAGUAUUGGGUUCGAAAUCCUAGAAGUGGUAGAUUAGAUCUAUUACUAAAUGCUAUUUUUUUGGUUCAUAUGCUUGUCAUUUUAGAUUCAAAUUUUUAUGCA